Molecule: transfer RNA, 65 nt
Filed under: Hermerius prionoides
Lineage: Eukaryota; Metazoa; Arthropoda; Insecta; Coleoptera; Cerambycidae
Description: tRNA-Phe
Source: RNAcentral
AUCUAAAUAGCUUAUAAAAGAGCAUGAUAUUGAAGAUAUCAAGGAAAUAUAAUUAUUUUUAGGUA